Molecule: ribosomal RNA, 265 nt
Filed under: uncultured bacterium
Lineage: Bacteria
Description: partial 16S ribosomal RNA
Rfam family: Bacterial small subunit ribosomal RNA
Source: RNAcentral
AUGUCCUACGGGAGGCAGCAGUAGGGAAUCUUCCACAAUGGGCGAAAGCCUGAUGGAGCAACGCCGCAUGGGUGAAGAAGGUCUUCGGAUCGUAAAACCCUGUUGUUAGAGAAGAAAGUGCGUGAGAGUAACUGUUCACGUUUCGACGGUAUCUAACCAGAAAGCCACGGCUAACUACGUGCCAGCAGCCGCGGUAAUACGUAGGUGGCAAGCGUGAUCCGGAUUUAUUGGGCGUAAAGGGAGCGAAGGCGGGCGUUUAAGGCUG